This 464-nucleotide ribosomal RNA is filed under the name uncultured bacterium. RNAcentral describes it as "partial 16S ribosomal RNA". It matches the Rfam family "Bacterial small subunit ribosomal RNA", at positions 339 to 795 of the family's 1533-position model. The record is from RNAcentral.
CUACGGGGGGCUGCAGUGGGGAAUAUUGGACAAUGGGGGAAACCCUGAUCCAGCAAUGCCGCGUGUGUGAAGAAGGCCUGCGGGUUGUAAAGCACUUUCGGUUGGGAGGACUGCUUCUAGCACUAAUAUUGUUGGAAGUUGACGUUACCUUCAGAAGAAGCACCGGCUAACUCCGUGCCAGCAGCCGCGGUAAUACGGAGGGUGCAAGCGGUAAUCGGAAUACUGGGCGUAAAGCGCGCGUAGGCGGCUAGAUCAGUCGGGUGUGAAAGCCCCGGGCUUAACCUGGGAACUGCAUCCGAUACUGUCUAGCUUGAGUACAGGAGAGGAGAGUGGAAUUCCACAUGUAGCGGUGAAAUGCGUAGAUAUGUGGAGGAACACCAAUGGCGAAGGCAGCUCUCUGGCCUGAUACUGACGCUGAGGUGCGAAAGCGUGGGGAGCAAACAGGAUUAGAUACCCGUGUAGUC